This 1207-nucleotide ribosomal RNA is filed under the name metagenome. RNAcentral's name for it is "bacterial SSU rRNA". It matches the Rfam family "Bacterial small subunit ribosomal RNA", at positions 8 to 1191 of the family's 1533-position model. The record is from RNAcentral.
AGAGUUUGAUUCUGGCUCAGAACGAACGGUGGCGGCGUGGAUAAGACAUGCAAGUCGAGCGGGAUUUUACGGGUAGCAAUAUUCGUGAGGUUCAGCGGCGCAAGGGUGCGUAACACGUGGGCAAUCUGCCUAGGGGAGCGGGAUAGCUCGGCGAAAGUCGAAUUAGUACCGCAUAAGACUACUGAGAGCAUUCUCGGGAUGUCAAAGGUGGCGCAAGCUGCCGCUCCUGGAUGAGCCCGCGGCCUAUCAGCUAGUUGGCGGGGUAACGGCCCACCAAGGCGAUGACGGGUAGCUGGUCUGAGAGGACGACCAGCCACACUGGAACUGAGACACGGUCCAGACACCUACGGGUGGCAGCAGUCGAGAAUUUUUCUCAAUGGGGGCAACCCUGAAGGAGCGACGCCGCGUGGAGGAUGAAGGUCUUCGGAUUGUAAACUCCUGUCAUUUGGGAACAAAUACCUGAUUUAACUGAUUAGGAACUGAUAGUACCAGAAGAGGAAGAGACGGCUAACUCUGUGCCAGCAGCCGCGGUAAUACAGAGGUCUCAACCGUUGUUCGGAUUCAUUGGGCGUAAAGGGUGCGUAGGCGGUCGCGCAAGUCGGAUGUGAAAUCUUAGGGCUCAACCCUGAAACUGCAUUCGAUACUGCGUGGCUCGAGUACUGGAGAGGAGACUGGAAUUUACGGUGUAGCAGUGAAAUGCGUAGAUAACGUAAGGAAGACCAGUGGCGAAGGCGAGUCUCUGGACAGUUACUGACGCUGAGGCACGAAGGCCAGGGGAGCAAACGGGAUUAGAUACCCCGGUAGUCCUGGCAGUAAACGGUGUACGUUUGGUGUAGGCGGAUUCGACCCCGCCUGUGCCGGAGCUAACGCGUUAAACGUACCGCCUGGGAAGUACGGUCGCAAGAUUAAAACUCAAAGAAAUUGACGGGGGCCCGCACAAGCGGUGGAGUAUGUGGCUUAAUUCGAUCCACGCGAAGAACCUUACCAGGGUUUGACAUGUAUCUCUAAGUCGGUGAAAGCUGGCGAGUUGUAGCAAUACAACAAUUUACACAGGUGCUGCAUGGCUGUCGUCAGCUCGUGUCGUGAGAUGUUGGGUUAAGUCCCGCAACGAGCGCAACCCUUACGUCCUGUUGCCACUCCUUUAUUGGAAGCACUCUGGACGGACUGCCCUGUGAAACGGGGAGGAAGGUGAGGAUGACGUCAAGUC